AUGCGGGAAACCCUGAUGCAGCAACGCCGCGUGGGCGAUGAAGGCCUUCGGGUUGUAAAGCUCUGUCUUCAGGGACGAUAAUGACGGUACCUGAGGAGGAAGCCACGGCUAACUACGUGCCAGCAGCCGCGGUAAUACGUAGGUGGCAAGCGUUGUCCGGAAUUAUUGGGCGUAAAGGAUGCGUAGGCGGCCUUUUAAGUGGGAUGUGAAAUACCCGGGCUUAACCCGGGAAUGGCAUUCCAAACUGGAAGGCUAGAGUGCAGGAGAGGAAAGUGGAAUUCCCAGUGUAGCGGUGAAAUGCGUAGAGAUUGGGAGGAACACCAGUGGCGAAGGCGACUUUCUGGACUGUAACCGACGCUGAGGCAUGAAAGCGUGGGGAGCAAACAGGAUUAGAUACCCUGGUAGUCCACGCCGUAAACGAUGAGUACUAGGUGUAGGGGAGCCAUUCUCUGUGCCGCAGUUAACACAUUAAGUACUCCGCCUGGGAAGUACGG
This 494-nucleotide ribosomal RNA is filed under the name uncultured bacterium. Its description in RNAcentral is "bacterial SSU rRNA". It matches the Rfam family "Bacterial small subunit ribosomal RNA", at positions 371 to 885 of the family's 1533-position model. The record is from RNAcentral.